This 5700-nucleotide small RNA is filed under the name Pan troglodytes (chimpanzee). RNAcentral describes it as "retained intron". Lineage: Eukaryota; Metazoa; Chordata; Mammalia; Primates; Hominidae. The record is from RNAcentral.
CGUUGCGUGCUCGCUCGCGCCAGGCGAGUCUCCGCGUCUCCCUCGCGAACUCGGUGAAAGGAAUUGGCGCCGUUCGACAGCAGGCGGAUCCGCUCUGCAGCACGAACCCAUCUCCAGCCGCAGCCGCAGCCGCCGCCCCGGCCGAGGAGCAGCCGCAGCAGCCGCCACCAGUGGCCGAGUGAGCGGAGCCGAGUUUGAGGCAGCGCCUAGCGGUGAAUCGGGGCCCUCACCAUGAGUUCCUCGCCUGUUAAUGUAAAAAAGCUGAAGGUGUCGGAGCUGAAAGAGGAGCUCAAGAAGCGACGCCUUUCUGACAAGGGUCUCAAGGCCGAGCUCAUGGAGCGACUCCAGGCUGCGCUGGACGACGAGGAGGCCGGGGGCCGCCCCGCCAUGGAGCCCGGGAACGGCAGCCUAGACCUGGGCGGGGAUUCCGCUGGGCGCUCGGGAGCAGGCCUCGAGCAGGAGGCCGCGGCCGGCGGCGAUGAAGAGGAGGAGGAAGAGGAAGAGGAGGAGGAAGGAAUCUCCGCUCUGGACGGCGACCAGAUGGAGCUAGGAGAGGAGAACGGGGCCGCGGGGGCGGCCGACUCGGGCCCGAUGGAGGAGGAGGAGGCCGCCUCGGAAGACGAGAACGGCGACGAUCAGGGUUUCCAGGAAGGGGAAGAUGAGCUCGGGGACGAAGAGGAAGGCGCGGGCGACGAGAACGGGCACGGGGAGCAGCAGCCUCAACCGCCGGCGACGCAGCAGCAACAGCCCCAACAGCAGCGCGGGGCCGCCAAGGAGGCCGCGGGGAAGAGCAGCGGCCCCACCUCGCUGUUCGCGGUGACGGUGGCGCCGCCCGGGGCGAGGCAGGGCCAGCAGCAGGCGGGAGGUAAGAAGAAGGCGGAAGGCGGCGGAGGCGGCGGUCGCCCCGGGGCUCCGGCGGCGGGGGACGGCAAAACAGAACAGAAAGGCGGAGAUAAAAAGAGGGGUGUUAAAAGACCACGAGAAGAUCAUGGCCGUGGAUAUUUUGAGUACAUUGAAGAGAACAAGUAUAGCAGAGCCAAAUCUCCUCAGCCACCUGUUGAAGAAGAAGAUGAACACUUCGAUGACACAGUGGUUUGUCUUGAUACUUGUAAGUGAAGCUGUUUCUCCCCAAUUAUGAAAUGCGGUGAUGGUGGUUUUUUUUUUUUUUUUUUUUUUUGGUUCCAGAAUGUUAGAAAACUUAAUGCUUAAGUGCAGCAAAACUUGGGUUAGUUUUUUUAAAAGCAGGAAGAUAAUGGUUUACAUUCAGAACCUAGUAGUUUAAUAUUUAGCACGUCAUCAGUUGUAUUAAGUGGAUUAUUUUACAGGCUCUAGGAGUUUCGUAUUUUUAUGAAUUGAAAGUUCUCAUUCUUAGGAAAUGUAAAAUUAAUGCCAGUUUUUGAUUAGCUAACGGAAACUUGUAACACUACCUAUGAUUUAGCCUUACAGGCUUCUACAAUAAAGUAAUUCAUUUUUUUGUGGAAUUAUAUUAAGUGAGCUAUUUGGGCUAGUUAAAUAUUUACUAAUGACUUCUCCCAUUAGCACACAAGUAUAUUCCCUAUUUUAAAAGAUUGUAAUAUUACUUUUUCAAUAACUGCUCUUUUGUUCUCAAUUCCAGUUCAGUAGCUGCUGCUUUAAACAUAAGUUGAUUUCUUCCAAAGACCUGAGGCAGCAGCAGUGGGCUAUCACUGGGCCACUAGCUUUCUUCAGCAGCGAAUGGUAUCAAUGGCAGUGCAGCACUGUAAAUAAAUACUGCUACUUUACCCAGUUGGGUUGCAAUUGAGUGAGAAAGUAUCGCAAACCUCUAAGUGGGCUUUGACUGUCAGACUUGUUUUUUUUUUGUUGUUGUUACAAAAAAACGUAGUUGGUUUAGUGAUGAGAAUGUACAACUCUGGGUGUGAUAAAUAGACCAAAGGAUAAAAAUAACUGUUUCAAAAGUAUCAGCUAUGGUGUCAGCCUGCUGUGUUAGAUGGAAGGCAUUGGAGCUUAGCUUCUCAUGUUUUCUUGUACAAAUUGGCUUUAUUCAGAUUUGUAAGAGUGUCAAUGUAAAAGUCUUUCUUACUGGAAUAUCCUUUACAGAAGGUUGAGAUAGUCAUCUGAGCCUUUUUAAAAGAAAAAACUGCAGGUGAAAAAGGAGUUAGUUGAUUUGAAAGUUUUAGUGAAAUUCUGGGUUGUAUAAAUAAGAAGUUGCUAGGAAUUGGCAAGGUAGUGAAGUGGUGACUCACACAGGUAAUGUAAUUGUUAGAUUUUUUAGCAAAUCAGGAAUAUGUCAAUAUAUAAGUACAAUGUUGAAUUCAAACAAUCUGUUGAAUUAAAUUCUGUUAAUUAGAAUAAUUCUAAUUUAAGAAAAAUUCCAAACUGUAGAUUUAUUUUUCUCUGAUCAGUAAAAAGAAAAUGAGUUCCAGCUUGACUUUAGCUGUUCAAGUGAGAAGUCUGAGGAAGUGCAUGUUAAUGAGCCAGUGACCCAUAGGUAGCUGGGUUAAAGACACUUUGGAUUUGGAUAAUCCGGGAAGCAAUUAAUCCCUAAUUGUUGAACAGGCAGUCCUGGGUAAAGAGGACCUAAAAUGCUGCACUAUUAACAGCAUUAGACGGCCAGGUUUGUACUUCAUAGAUUUAGGCUGUCUUCUUCACAAGUUUUAGAAAAAGAAUUUAGGAGCUAGAGCCCUGGUGCAGGAUCAACAGCAGCUCAUACUCCUAUUUUAAAAUAAUUUGAUCGUGGCCUCCCUUCAGUUUUAAUGUGGCACUGGUAAAUCUACCUGGUUCUGGCAUGCUUCACUUUGAUUUCCUGCUAUCCUCUACUGCUUGCCUCUAAAUCAAGGUAAAGAGCAGAGCAGGUAUGUAUUAAUGUCACAUUGUCUUGAUUAUUUUAAAUACUUAAAAUAUACAUGUUAAACCUUGGUAUUAGUUUCACAGGCAGUUUACUUUUCAGUACAUAAUUUAACAGGAGUGACUUGGUGGGAGUGGGGCUUUAAACUGAAAAUUGGAACAACAGCAUGAUGUGGAGAAAAGUUGUGCAGCAUUAAGUACAUGCAAAAAUUAAGUAACCAAGUUUUGUCUAUAUAGCAGAUAUGUUUACAUUGGAUGUCAAAAGUAACACAGUAUUUGAUAUAAUUACAGAUAAUUGUGAUCUACAUUUUAAAAUAUCAAGAGAUCGUCUCAGUGCUUCUUCCCUUACAAUGGAGAGUUUUGCUUUUCUUUGGGCUGGAGGAAGAGCAUCCUAUGGUGUGUCAAAAGGCAAAGUGUGUUUUGAGAUGAAGGUUACAGAGAAGAUCCCAGUAAGGCAUUUAUAUACAAAAGAUAUUGACAUACAUGAAGUUCGUAUUGGCUGGUCACUAACUACAAGUGGAAUGUUACUUGGUGAAGAAGAAUUUUCUUAUGGGUAUUCUCUAAAAGGAAUAAAAACAUGCAACUGUGAGACUGAAGAUUAUGGAGAAAAGUUUGAUGAAAAUGAUGUGAUUACAUGUUUUGCUAACUUUGAAAGUGAUGAAGUAGAACUCUCGUAUGCUAAGAAUGGACAAGAUCUUGGCGUUGCCUUCAAAAUCAGUAAGGAAGUUCUUGCUGGACGGCCACUGUUCCCGCAUGUUCUCUGCCACAACUGUGCAGUUGAAUUUAAUUUUGGUCAGAAGGAAAAGCCAUAUUUUCCAAUACCUGAAGAGUAUACUUUCAUCCAGAACGUCCCCUUAGAGGAUCGAGUUAGAGGACCAAAGGGGCCUGAAGAGAAGAAAGAUUGUGAAGUUGUGAUGAUGAUUGGCUUGCCAGGAGCUGGAAAAACUACCUGGGUUACUAAACAUGCAGCAGAAAAUCCAGGGAAAUAUAACAUUCUUGGCACAAAUACUAUUAUGGAUAAGAUGAUGGUGGCAGGUUUUAAGAAGCAAAUGGCAGAUACUGGAAAACUGAACACACUGUUGCAGAGAGCCCCCCAGUGUCUUGGGAAAUUUAUUGAGAUUGCUGCCCGAAAGAAGCGAAAUUUUAUUCUGGAUCAGACAAAUGUGUCUGCUGCUGCCCAGAGGAGAAAAAUGUGCCUGUUUGCAGGCUUCCAGCGAAAAGCUGUUGUAGUUUGCCCAAAAGAUGAAGACUAUAAGCAAAGAACACAGAAGAAAGCAGAAGUAGAGGGGAAAGACCUACCAGAACAUGCGGUCCUCAAAAUGAAAGGAAACUUUACCCUCCCAGAGGUAGCUGAGUGCUUUGAUGAAAUAACCUAUGUUGAACUUCAGAAGGAAGAAGCCCAAAAACUCUUGGAGCAAUAUAAGGAAGAAAGCAAAAAGGCUCUUCCACCAGAAAAGAAACAGAACACUGGCUCAAAGAAAAGCAAUAAAAAUAAGAGUGGCAAGAACCAGUUUAACAGAGGUGGUGGCCAUAGAGGACGUGGAGGAUUCAAUAUGCGUGGUGGAAAUUUCAGAGGAGGAGCCCCUGGGAAUCGUGGCGGAUAUAAUAGGAGGGGCAACAUGCCACAGAGAGGUGGUGGCGGUGGAGGAAGUGGUGGAAUCGGCUAUCCAUACCCUCGUGCCCCUGUUUUUCCUGGCCGUGGUAGUUACUCAAACAGAGGGAACUACAACAGAGGUGGAAUGCCCAACAGAGGGAACUACAACCAGAACUUCAGAGGACGAGGAAACAAUCGUGGCUACAAAAAUCAAUCUCAGGGCUACAACCAGUGGCAGCAGGGUCAAUUCUGGGGUCAGAAGCCAUGGAGUCAGCAUUAUCACCAAGGAUAUUAUUGAAUACCCAAAUAAAACGAACUGAUACAUAUUUCUCCAAAACCUUCACAAGAAGUCGACUGUUUUCUUUAGUAGGCUAACUUUUUAAACAUUCCACAAGAGGAAGUGCCUGCGGGUUCCUUUUUUAGAAGCUUUGUGGGUUGAUUUUUUUUCUUUUCUUUUUUGUACAUUUUUAAUUGCAGUUUAAAAGUGAAUCGUAAGAGAACCUCAGCAUUGUGCACGAUAAGAGAAUGUGUCAGUAUUUCAGGGUUCUACAUUUUAUCUGUAAAAUGUGACUUUUUUUUUUUUUUUUAUCACAACAGAAGUAAAAUGUUGCUUUGUACCUGGUGUCUUUUAUUAAGAAUUUACUCCCCCCAUUUCUCACAGAGAAUAACAGUCGGGAGUCAUUGUCACAAUAUAAUAGAAAUGUUAGCAACCAGAUUCAUGUAAGGACUAAGUGGUCCUCAUGAAUUGCAUUAAGACUCUGUACUGCUCAUAUUACACUCCAUCCUCUCUGUAGUUUGCUGGGUAGUGGAGGGGUUAAGCUAAAUCAUAGUUUCUGACAAUAACUGGGAAGGUUUUUUCUUAAAAUAACAAUGGAAUUGGUAUAAUUGGGAUUGAAAACUAAAACUUGGAACUAAGAUAGAGAAGAUGGAGUGUAUGUAGAAGGGCUGUUAAAAAUGUAAAACUUGGUUGCAUUAUUUGUGGAGGCUCAAACUUGUGAAGGUUAAUACCAUAAUUUUUCCAUUUGUUCUGCAUUUUGAUUCUGAAAAGAAAGCUGGCUUUGCCCAUUUCUUAUUAAAAAAACUUGUUGUAAAUCCAGUUGUCUAAUGGGAUCUAUAUGAAGUUAGCCAUGUCUGUAUGCCCUUCUCCCACAAAAUACUGUAUAACUAGUGUGCUUGUAGUAGUUAACUCCACCAUCUUUGUAAGCUAAUGAAAUUGUGAGUCACCCAUUUAUAUCUUAAUUUUUAAUCAUGUCAGUUCUUGAAUGGGUAUCUCCUUAGCCUGC